GUUAAUACCCUGUGUGGAUGACGGUACCGGAAUAAGAAGCACCGGCUAACUACGUGCCAGCAGCCGCGGUAAUACGUAGGGUGCGAGCGUUAAUCGGAAUUACUGGGCGUAAAGCGUGCGCAGGCGGUUUGUUAAGAUAGGCGUGAAAUCCCCGGGCUCAACCUGGGAACUGCGUUUAUGACUGGCAGGCUAGAGUAUGGCAGAGGGGGGUGGAAUUCCACGUGUAGCAGUGAAAUGCGUAGAGAUGUGGAGGAACACCGAUGGCGAAGGCAGCCCCCUGGGCCAAUACUGACGCUCAUGCACGAAAGCGUGGGUAGCAAACAGGAUUAGAUACCCUGGUAGUCCACGCCCUAAACGAUGUCAACUAGGUGUUGGGAGGGUAAAACCUUUUAGUACCGGAGCUAACGCGUGAAGUUGACCGCCUGGGGAGUACGGCCGCAAGGUUAAAACUCAAAGGAAUUGACGGGG
This 468-nucleotide ribosomal RNA is filed under the name uncultured bacterium. RNAcentral's name for it is "bacterial SSU rRNA". It matches the Rfam family "Bacterial small subunit ribosomal RNA", at positions 453 to 918 of the family's 1533-position model. The record is from RNAcentral.